This 465-nucleotide ribosomal RNA is filed under the name uncultured bacterium. RNAcentral's name for it is "partial 16S ribosomal RNA". It matches the Rfam family "Bacterial small subunit ribosomal RNA", at positions 338 to 795 of the family's 1533-position model. The record is from RNAcentral.
CCUACGUGAGGCAGCAGUAGGGAAUCUUCCACAAUGGGCGAAAGCCUGAUGGAGCAACGCCGCGUGGGUGAAGAAGGUCUUCGGAUCGUAAAACCCUGUUGUUAGAGAAGAAAGUGCGUGAGAGUAACUGUUCACGUUUCGACGGUAUCUAACCAGAAAGCCACGGCUAACUACGUGCCAGCAGCCGCGGUAAUACGUAGGUGGCAAGCGUUAUCCGGAUUUAUUGGGCGUAAAGGGCACGCAGGCGGUCUUUUAAGUCUGAUGUGAAAGCCUUCGGCUUAACCGGAGUAGUGCAUUGGAAACUGGGAGACUUGAGUGCAGAAGAGGAGAGUGGAACUCCAUGUGUAGCGGUGAAAUGCGUAGAUAUAUGGAAGAACACCAGUGGCGAAAGCGGCUCUCUGGUCUGUAACUGACGCUGAGGUUCGAAAGCGUGGGUAGCAAACAGGAUUAGAUACCCGAGUAGUC